This 569-nucleotide ribosomal RNA is filed under the name uncultured Glomeromycotina. RNAcentral's name for it is "SSU rRNA". It matches the Rfam family "Eukaryotic small subunit ribosomal RNA", at positions 548 to 1114 of the family's 1831-position model. Lineage: Eukaryota; Fungi; Glomeromycota. The record is from RNAcentral.
UUGGAGGGCAAGUCUGGUGCCAGCAGCCGCGGUAAUUCCAGCUCCAAUAGCGUAUAUUAAAGUUGUUGCAGUUAAAAAGCUCGUAGUUGAAUUUCGGGAUUGACGUGAUGGUCAUGCCUUAAGGGGUAUGAACUGUUACUGUUGAUUUCUCACCUUCUGGAGAAACUUGAUGUCCUUUAUUGGGUGUCUUGCGGAUCCAGGACCUUUACCUUGAAAAAAUUAGAGUGUUUAAAGCAGGCAUUUUUGCUCGAAUACAUUAGCAUGGAAUAAUAGAAUAGGACGGCAUGGUUCUAUUUUGUUGGUUUCUAGGAUCACCGUAAUGAUUAAUAGGGAUAGUUGGGGGCAUUAGUAUUCAAUUGUCAGAGGUGAAAUUCUUGGAUUUAUUGAAGACUAACUACUGCGAAAGCAUUUGCCAAGGAUGUUUUCAUUAAUCAAGAACGAAAGUUAGGGGAUCGAAGACGAUCAGAUACCGUCGUAGUCUUAACCAUAAACUAUGCCGACUAGGAAUCGGGCGACGUUAUUUUCAUGGCUCGCUCGGCGCCUUAUGGGAAACCAAAGUGUUUGGGUUC